UACGGAGGGUGCAAACGUUGCUCGGAAUCAUUGGGCGUAAAGCGCACGUAGGCGGACUGUUAAGUCGGAUGUGAAAUCCCUCAGCUUAACUGAGGAAGUGCACUCGAAACUGGCAGUCUUGAGUAUGGAAGAGGGUCGCGGAAUUCCCGGUGUAGAGGUGAAAUUCGUAGAUAUCGGGAGGAACACCAGUGGCGAAGGCGGCGACCUGGGCCAAUACUGACGCUGAGGAGCGAAAGCCAGGGGAGCAAACGGG
Molecule: ribosomal RNA, 253 nt
Filed under: uncultured bacterium
Lineage: Bacteria
Description: partial 16S ribosomal RNA
Rfam family: Bacterial small subunit ribosomal RNA
Source: RNAcentral